Molecule: ribosomal RNA, 737 nt
Filed under: Salmonella enterica subsp. enterica serovar Infantis
Lineage: Bacteria; Pseudomonadati; Pseudomonadota; Gammaproteobacteria; Enterobacterales; Enterobacteriaceae
Description: partial 23S ribosomal RNA
Rfam family: Bacterial large subunit ribosomal RNA
Source: RNAcentral
UUUAAUGUUUGAUGUUCUAACGUGGAUCCGUAAUCCGGGUUGCGGACAGUGUCUGGUGGGUAGUUUGACUGGGGCGGUCUCCUCCUAAAGAGUAACGGAGGAGCACGAAGGUUGGCUAAUCCUGGUCGGACAUCAGGAGGUUAGUGCAAUGGCAUAAGCCAGCUUGACUGCGAGCGUGACGGCGCGAGCAGGUGCGAAAGCAGGUCAUAGUGAUCCGGUGGUUCUGAAUGGAAGGGCCAUCGCUCAACGGAUAAAAGGUACUCCGGGGAUAACAGGCUGAUACCGCCCAAGAGUUCAUAUCGACGGCGGUGUUUGGCACCUCGAUGUCGGCUCAUCACAUCCUGGGGCUGAAGUAGGUCCCAAGGGUAUGGCUGUUCGCCAUUUAAAGUGGUACGCGAGCUGGGUUUAGAACGUCGUGAGACAGUUCGGUCCCUAUCUGCCGUGGGCGCUGGAGAACUGAGGGGGGCUGCUCCUAGUACGAGAGGACCGGAGUGGACGCAUCACUGGUGUUCGGGUUGUCAUGCCAAUGGCACUGCCCGGUAGCUAAAUGCGGAAGAGAUAAGUGCUGAAAGCAUCUAAGCACGAAACUUGCCCCGAGAUGAGUUCUCCCUGAGACUUAGAGUCUCCUGAAGGAACGUUGAAGACGACGACGUUGAUAGGCCGGGUGUGUAAGCGCAGCGAUGCGUUGAGCUAACCGGUACUAAUGAACCGUGAGGCUUAACCUUACAACGCCGAAG